This 89-nucleotide transfer RNA is filed under the name Lentinula lateritia. RNAcentral's name for it is "tRNA-Ser". It matches the Rfam family "tRNA". Rfam says of the family: Transfer RNA (tRNA) molecules are approximately 80 nucleotides in length. Their secondary structure includes four short double-helical elements and three loops (D, anti-codon, and T loops). Further hydrogen bonds mediate the characteristic L-shaped molecular structure. tRNAs have two regions of fundamental functional importance: the anti-codon, which is responsible for specific mRNA codon recognition, and the 3' end, to which the tRNAs corresponding amino acid is attached (by aminoacyl-tRNA synthetases). tRNAs cope with the degeneracy of the genetic code in two manners: having more than one tRNA (with a specific anti-codon) for a particular amino acid; and 'wobble' base-pairing, i.e. permitting non-standard base-pairing at the 3rd anti-codon position. Lineage: Eukaryota; Fungi; Basidiomycota; Agaricomycetes; Agaricales; Omphalotaceae. The record is from RNAcentral.
GCUGGAAUGGCCGAGUCGUUAAGGCGAUAGAUUUGAAUUGUCUUAUCUAUUACUCUCUGAGUGCGUAGGUUCAAAUCCUGCUUCCAGCG